UGUUUUACUGAACUCUGCUGCUCUGAUGACAGAACUGAUAUUUAAAACAGUUAAUGGUGAGCGUCUAGUGGGGGAUCUGAGAAUUGUUGUCUUUCCCUCUGAAAGCCUCUUCACCUUAAUUAUGCUCAUUUUACUCAUGUUUGCACCCUGGAUUUCAAACACAACAAAGUUUCAGCAGUGUUAUCAGAACACAGCAACAUCUGAUGGCACUCAAACUAAUGGAUCAAGCC
Molecule: long non-coding RNA, 230 nt
Organism: Xyrauchen texanus (razorback sucker)
Lineage: Eukaryota; Metazoa; Chordata; Actinopteri; Cypriniformes; Catostomidae
Exons: 4
Source: RefSeq, a predicted model, not a curated record